This 1082-nucleotide ribosomal RNA is filed under the name uncultured bacterium. RNAcentral's name for it is "bacterial SSU rRNA". It matches the Rfam family "Bacterial small subunit ribosomal RNA", at positions 8 to 1056 of the family's 1533-position model. The record is from RNAcentral.
AGAGUUUGAUCAUGGCUCAGAACGAACGCUGGCGGCGUGGAUUAGGCAUGCAAGUCGAACGAAGCUAAGGAAUUUGGCAACAUUUUCCCCAAGACUUAGUGGCGGAAGGGUGAGUAACACGUGGGUAAUUUACCUUAAACCUGGGGACAACCCCGCGAAAGCGGGGCUAAUACCGUAAUGUGGUCCUGUCAGGGCAUCCUGUUGGGAUUAAAGGUGGGGACCUUCGGGCCUACCGGUUUUUGAUAAGCCCGCGGCCUAUUAGCUUGUUGGUAGGGUAACAGCCUACCAAGGCGAUGAUGGGUAGCCGGACUGAGAGGUUGACCGGCCACACUGGGACUGAGACACUGCCCAGACUCCUACGGGAGGCUGCAGUCGAGAAUCUUUCGCAAUGGGCGCAAGCCUGACGAAGCGACGCCGCGUGAGCGAUGAAGGCCUUCGGGUUGUAAAGCUCUGUCACAAGGGAUGAAAUGCAUAUGCGCUAAUAUCGUAUAUGCUUGACAGUACCUUGAGAGGAAGCUCCGGCUAACUCCGUGCCAGCAGCCGCGGUAAUACGGAGGGAGCGAGCGUUGUUCGGAUUUAUUGGGCGUAAAGGGCGUCUAGGUGGUAUGGUAAGUCGUAUGUGAAAGCCCUCGGCUUAACCGAGGAAUUGCAUUUGAAACUGCCAAACUCGAGUAUGGUAGAAGUGAGCGGAAUUCUCAGUGUAGCGGUGGAAUGCGUAAAUAUUGAGAAGAACACCAGUGGCAAAGGCGGCUCACUAGACCAACACUGACACUGAAGCGCGAAAGCCAGGGGAGCGAACGGGAUUAGAUACCCCGGUAGUCCUGGCCGUAAACGAUGUGCACUGGGUGUAGGAGGUAUCGACCCCUCCUGUGCCGAAGUUAACGCAUUAAGUGCACCGCCUGGGGAGUACGACCGCAAGGUUGAAACUCAAAGGAAUUGACGGGGGCCCGCACAAGCGGUGGAGCAUGUGGUUUAAUUCGAUGCAACGCGAAGAACCUUACCAGGGCUUGACAUGUACCGGACUGUCUGUGAAAGCAGACUUUCCUUCGGGACCGGUACACAGGUGCUGCAUGGCUGUCGUC